RNAcentral lists this ribosomal RNA (470 nucleotides) under uncultured bacterium. RNAcentral describes it as "partial 16S ribosomal RNA". It matches the Rfam family "Bacterial small subunit ribosomal RNA", at positions 355 to 816 of the family's 1533-position model. The record is from RNAcentral.
UGGGGAAUUUUGGACAAUGGGCGAAAGCCUGAUCCAGCAAUGCCGCGUGUGUGAAGAAGGCCUUCGGGUUGUAAAGCACUUUUGUCCGGAAAGAAAUGGCUCUGGUUAAUACCUGGGGUCGAUGACGGUACCGGAAGAAUAAGGACCGGCUAACUACGUGCCAGCAGCCGCGGUAAUACGUAGGGUCCAAGCGUUAAUCGGAAUUACUGGGCGUAAAGCGUGCGCAGGCGGUUGUGCAAGACCGAUGUGAAAUCCCCGAGCUUAACUUGGGAAUUGCAUUGGUGACUGCACGGCUAGAGUGUGUCAGAGGGGGGUUAGAAUUCCACGUGUAGCAGUGAAAUGCGUAGAGAUGUGGAGGAAUACCGAUGGCGAAGGCAGCCCCCUGGGAUAACACUGACGCUCAUGCACGAAAGCGUGGGGAGCAAACAGGAUUAGAUACCCUGGUAGUCCACGCCCUAAACGAUGUCAAC